UGGGGAAUAUUGGACAAUGGGCGCAAGCCUGAUCCAGCCAUGCCGCGUGAGUGAUGAAGGCCCUAGGGUUGUAAAGCUCUUUCACCGGUGAAGAUAAUGACGGUAACCGGAGAAGAAGCCCCGGCUAACUUCGUGCCAGCAGCCGCGGUAAUACGAAGGGGGCUAGCGUUGUUCGGAUUUACUGGGCGUAAAGCGCACGUAGGCGGACUUUUAAGUCAGGGGUGAAAUCCCGGGGCUCAACCCCGGAACUGCCUUUGAUACUGGAAGUCUUGAGUAUGGUAGAGGUGGGUGGAAUUCCGAGUGUAGAGGUGAAAUUCGUAGAUAUUCGGAGGAACACCAGUGGCGAAGGCGGCUCACUGGACCAUUACUGACGCUGAGGUGCGAAAGCGGGGGGAGCAAACAGG
This 404-nucleotide ribosomal RNA is filed under the name Actinomycetes bacterium. RNAcentral's name for it is "Actinobacteria bacterium partial 16S ribosomal RNA". It matches the Rfam family "Bacterial small subunit ribosomal RNA", at positions 355 to 776 of the family's 1533-position model. The record is from RNAcentral. Lineage: Bacteria; Bacillati; Actinomycetota; Actinomycetes.